Molecule: ribosomal RNA, 313 nt
Filed under: Ibla cumingi
Lineage: Eukaryota; Metazoa; Arthropoda; Thecostraca; Iblomorpha; Iblidae
Description: partial 12S ribosomal RNA
Rfam family: Bacterial small subunit ribosomal RNA
Source: RNAcentral
AAUGGAUUUGGCGGCGAAAUAGACCAUUCAGAGGAACUUGUCCCGUAAACGAUAAUCCUCGAUAACUUAACCCGGGUUGGUAGUCAGUUUGUAUACCGUUGUUGUCAGAUAACUCUAGUAAGAUGUUUUCAGGGAUAAAAAAUUUAAGGACUUCAAAUAAAGGUGCAGCUUACAUCCGGGGGGAGAUGAGUUACAAUAAGAGUUGAAUUGUGGAUAGAAGCUUGAAAUUGGGUUUUUGAAAAUGGAUUUGUUUGUAAAUAUGAAAAGGUAGCCAUAUUGAAAAGAGCACUAUUUCGUGUACACACCGCCCGUC